CCUACGGGAGGCAGCAGUAGGGAAUCUUCGUCAAUGGGCGCAAGCCUGAACGAGCAAUGCCGCGUGAACGAGGAAGGUCUUCGGAUCGUAAAGUUCUGUUGAAGGGGAAAAAGAGCGGAGAGAGGAAAUGCUUUCUGAUUGAUAUUACCCUUCGAGGAAGUCACGGCUAACUACGUGCCAGCAGCCGCGGUAAUACGUAGGUGGCGAGCGUUAUCCGGAAUGAUUGGGCGUAAGGGGUGCGUAGGCGGCCUGCUAAGUCUGGAGUGAAAGGUACCGGCUCAACCGGUACAGGCUCUGGAAACUGGCGGGCUAGGGAGAAGGAGAGGGCGGUGGAAAUCCAUGUGUAGCGGUAAAAUG
This 357-nucleotide ribosomal RNA is filed under the name uncultured bacterium. Its description in RNAcentral is "partial 16S ribosomal RNA". It matches the Rfam family "Bacterial small subunit ribosomal RNA", at positions 338 to 688 of the family's 1533-position model. The record is from RNAcentral.